This 707-nucleotide ribosomal RNA is filed under the name uncultured Bacteroidota bacterium. RNAcentral's name for it is "bacterial SSU rRNA". It matches the Rfam family "Bacterial small subunit ribosomal RNA", at positions 60 to 770 of the family's 1533-position model. The record is from RNAcentral. Lineage: Bacteria; Pseudomonadati; Bacteroidota.
AGUCGAGGGGUAUGGUAGCAAUACCAGAGACCGGCGCACGGGUGCGUAACGCGUAUGCAAUCUACCUUUUACAGAGGGAUAGCCCAGAGAAAUUUGGAUUAAUACCUCAUAGUAUUACGACCCGGCAUCGGGAUGUAAUUAAAGUCACAACGGUAAAAGAUGAGCAUGCGUCCCAUUAGCUAGAUGGUAAGGUAACGGCUUACCAUGGCAACGAUGGGUAGGGGUCCUGAGAGGGAGAUCCCCCACACUGGUACUGAGACACGGACCAGACUCCUACGGGAGGCAGCAGUGAGGAAUAUUGGACAAUGGGCGCAAGCCUGAUCCAGCCAUGCCGCGUGCAGGAUGACGGUCCUAUGGAUUGUAAACUGCUUUUGCACAGGAAGAAACAACGCUACGUGUAGCGUCUUGACGGUACUGUGAGAAUAAGGAUCGGCUAACUCCGUGCCAGCAGCCGCGGUAAUACGGAGGAUCCAAGCGUUAUCCGGAAUCAUUGGGUUUAAAGGGUCCGUAGGCGGUUUGGUAAGUCAGUGGUGAAAGCCCAUCGCUCAACGGUGGAACGGCCAUUGAUACUGCCAGACUUGAAUUAUUAGGAAGUAACUAGAAUAUGUAGUGUAGCGGUGAAAUGCUUAGAGAUUACAUGGAAUACCAAUUGCGAAGGCAGGUUACUACUAAUGGAUUGACGCUGAUGGACGAAAGCGUGGGUAGCG